Molecule: ribosomal RNA, 221 nt
Filed under: Paenibacillus polymyxa
Lineage: Bacteria; Bacillati; Bacillota; Bacilli; Caryophanales; Paenibacillaceae
Also listed under: 1 other name
Description: partial 16S ribosomal RNA
Rfam family: Bacterial small subunit ribosomal RNA
Source: RNAcentral
UUAAUGGAGAGUUUGAUCCUGGCUCAGGACGAACGCUGGCGGCGUGCCUAAUACAUGCAAGUCGAGCGGGGUUAAUUAGAAGCUUGCUUCUAAUUAACCUAGCGGCGGACGGGUGAGUAACACGUAGGCAACCUGCCCACAAGACAGGGAUAACUACCGGAAACGGUAGCUAAUACCCGAUACAUCCUUUUCCUGCAUGGGAGAAGGAGGAAAGGCGGAGC